AGGGUGUGCUGCGUGCUGUCCUGACACUUCGGGCGUACCUAGACAAACCCCACACGUGCAUGUGUGCAUCCUUUCGUGCGGCAUGGAAGGUGUUAGACCAGGCUCUCUUGGUGCAUGGGUGCCUGACAGAGCCCGCAUGUCUUUGAGUGACAUGCUGAACGUACGCAAUGUGCCACGAGAAUAUGUCCCAAUACUAAUGGGCGUU
RNAcentral lists this long non-coding RNA (205 nucleotides) under Carica papaya (papaya). RNAcentral's name for it is "long non-coding RNA (CPAP_LNC003379)". Lineage: Eukaryota; Viridiplantae; Streptophyta; Magnoliopsida; Brassicales; Caricaceae. The record is from RNAcentral.